RNAcentral lists this ribosomal RNA (433 nucleotides) under uncultured bacterium. RNAcentral describes it as "partial 16S ribosomal RNA". It matches the Rfam family "Bacterial small subunit ribosomal RNA", at positions 29 to 507 of the family's 1533-position model. The record is from RNAcentral.
AACGAACGCUGGCGGCAUGCCUAACACAUGCAAGUCGAACGAGACCUUCGGGUCUAGUGGCGCACGGGUGCGUAACGCGUGGGAACCUGCCCUUAGGUUCGGAAUAACUCCCCGAAAGGGGUGCUAAUACCGGAUAAUGUCUUCGGACCAAAGAUUUAUCGCCUUUGGAUGGGCCCGCGUUGGAUUAGCUAGUUGGUAGGGUAAAAGCCUACCAAGGCGACGAUCCAUAGCUGGUCUGAGGGGAUGAUCAGCCACACUGGGACUGAGACACGGCCCAGACUCCUACGGGAGGCAGCAGUGGGGAAUAUUGGACAAUGGGCGAAAGCCUGAUCCAGCAAUGCCGCGUGAGUGAUGAAGGCCUUAGGGUUGUAAAGCUCUUUUACCCGGGAUGAUAAUGACAGUACCGGGGGAAUAAGCUCCGGCUAACUCCGUG